Molecule: long non-coding RNA, 6535 nt
Organism: Bos taurus (domestic cattle)
Lineage: Eukaryota; Metazoa; Chordata; Mammalia; Artiodactyla; Bovidae
Source: Ensembl
UAUUUUGAAGAUGAGGAAAUGGAGGCUUGGCAGGAUGAAUUGCCCAAGGUCCAGAGCCAGGGAUGGCAGAACCUGGAUUGAAACCUGUUUAUCUGAACCAAGCAGCCCAGCUUUUUCUGCCUCUCUGCUGCCUCCCAGCAAAGAGCAAUGUGGAAUCCUCGAUCGUGGUGCCUCCCGAGGAGUUCGGGGGAUUGUGUGUCUGGCCUGGGCUGGGAAGGAAGGGUCCUUGUCCAGGUGGUCCUUUCUUCAUUGGCAACCAGCUGCCUCAUAAUUUCAACGGAGCCUCAUUUUUUCCCUAACUGCAGAGCUCUUUCACACUGAAAGUUGUGAAAUAGAUUCUUUGUUACCACACAGUUUUAUGUGAGUUUCAGCAGUGACAGCUGUUUCUCCUGGGACCCAAUCUCCUAAAUCACCUAAAUAACAAUAAUUCUGACAGACCCACAAGGCAGGGAGCCCAGAAGAGCAAAGGCCACCUGUAAGCCAAUGACCCUCAUGGGUAAACCCUAUCCCUUGACUUCAGCAGGAAGACCAUCUCUAGUUCAGUGUAAAUUUGUCCACCCCAUGGGCUGCUACUGAGGGAUGAAACCCUCUCUUUCAUAUCUGAGAGAGUGAAUUUGAAGACUGAUACCAGCUUACAUGAAUAUAAGGUUUUAAAUGCAAAUUACCUGCAAAAUUUUUUAUUAGCUGAAGCUGUGCUGUCCAUAUAGUCAAACAACUUAGCAGCAGCAGCGUUGAAUGGCAAGGGCUUCCCAGGUGGCAUGAGUGUUAAAGAACUUGCCUGCUGAUGCAGGAGAUGCAAGAGACGUGGGUUCUCUCCCUGGGUCAGGAAGAUCCCCUGGAGGAGAGCAUGGCAACCCACUCCAGUAUUCUUGCCUGGAGAAUCCCAUGGACAGAGGAGCCUGGCAGGCUACAGUCCACAGGGUCAUAAAGAGUUGGACACAACUGAGUGACUUAGCAUGUGUGCACACACAUACACACACGCACACAUAUUGAAUGACAAUGCUUUGGUUUCCUUAGUGGAUUUUUAUACCCAAUAUCAAUGUUAUGUAAAUAUAGCCAUGUCUGUAUGUAUGGGUUAUCAUAUAUGGUGUAUAAUUAUGAGCUGAAAUGCAGAGCUCUCAACCAUUCCAUUAACCAAGCCAUCUUAAAUUAUGUUAACUGCCCCCACUAGUUAGUUAGAGGCCUCUCUGGCACCCCACUCCAGUACUCUUGCCUGGAAAAUCCCAUGGACGGAGGAGCCUGGUGGGCUGCAGUCCAUGGAGUCGCUAAGAGUCGGACACGACUGAGCGACUUCACUUUCACUUUUCACUUUCAUGCAUUGGAGAAGGAAAUGGCAACCCACUCCAGUAUUCUUGCCUGGAGAAUCCCAGGGACGGGGCAUCCUGGUGGGCUGACGUCUAUGGGGUCACACAGAGUCGGACACGACUGAAGUGACUCAGCAGCAACUGUCAUAGAGUUUGGGAACUCAAGAGCACAGCUUGGAGUAAAGAUGAAGAUUUGGGAGUCUGGGGUGAGGCAGACACUGGUGUACAUGUGAUGACACAGAGGAUGUGUAGACUCUGCAGAGAAGUCGGCCGGGAGUGGCACCCAUCCCCUUCUAGAAGACGUUUCUGGAAAUAAUCUCAUUCACUGAAAAAUUUCCAGAAUAGUACAAGAACAAUCAUGUACUCUUUACCCAGACUCAUCCGUUGUUCACAUUGUGUUCCAAUAAUUUUAUCCUUUGCACGUGCUCUCUAUGCAUACAUACAUAUUUUUUUCUGGACCAUUUGAGAGUAAAUUGCAUACAUCAUGGCCCUUUACCGUUUACCAGUGAUUUUUUCUUAAGAGCAAGGAUAUUCUCUUAAAUGCCUACAAUACAGUUAAAAUCUUCAGUAAAUUUAACAUCUGUACAAUUCUGUCAUCUAUCAUCUUCAUUCCAACUUGUCAAGUAGCCCAGUCAUUUCCUUUAUAGUAUUUCCCGCCCUCCCCCUCCCAUUAUAGAAUUCUGUCUAGGAUCACAUAUUGUGUUUAGUUAUCCUGUCUCUUUAAUCUCCUCUAAUUUGGAAUAGUUCCUCACCUUUUCAUUGUCUUUUAUGACAGUAACAUUUUAAGAGAAUACAGCCCUCCCCACUUUUUAAAAUAGAAGAGUCCUCAUUUUGAGUGUGACGUUUCUUCAUGAUUAGAUUAAGGCUGUGAAUUCCCUGCCAAAAUAUUGAAUCGGUGAUGUGCUUGUCAACUGAAAGAAAAAUGCACAACAUAAGGGCUAUGAGUUUAAAUUUUAUUCAGGGUUUUACUGAGGCCCUUAGUCUGGGAUAUAGCCUCUCAGUAGCUCUGAGGUGAUUUCUUUAGAGGGGUAGGGGAGAAGUCAGUAUAUUUUUGAUUUUUGGCUAGGGAGUAUGUGCAAACAAGCAUAUGACUUGGUAAAAGGUUAUUGCUAGUCACAGGGCAAAGCUAUCAGUUAAUGAUUUUAGUGCUUUAUCAUGUAUGGGAAGAUGCAAGAAUCUGGGUUCGUGAAGAUUCUUCCUGAGAUAAACAUCUAACUAUCUGAAGCACUGAGCACCUCCUCCUGGUUUCCAUCCUGAAUUCCUCCCGGGGUGCGUUGUUGGUCAGCGACUGCAGUGGCUGAUGACUUAAUCAUUGCAUACCUGGAUGUUAAGCCACAUUCCUUGUUUUAUAUGCUCUUCUCAGGGUAGCACUCCCAGAGGCAGAUUACCAUCUGCUGCUUCUCAUUAGUGAUAAUUCUGAUCCUCAGACAAGGUAUCUGAUUUCUUCACUGUAUAGUAAGCAUUUUUGCUUCAGUGCUAAUAAUCUGAGGAGACACUUUAAAUCCAUGCAGAUAUCCUGCUUUUAUCAAAAUUUCCCCCCUAAAUUUAACUGAUGAUAACCCAGUCUUUGCUUUGAUGAUGGAAAAUCAAUGAUUUUUCAACUCUAGCACUAUUACCACAUUUAUCUUUUGGUCCUUGGCAUUUUCUCAGGGAGAGCCCUGUCUUCUCCAUCACUUAUCUAACAUUUAUUUAUCUAUUUAUUACUAGACUGAUGGAUUCCUGUUACUCAUUGGUUUAUAAUUUGCUAUUUUACUUAAUUUUUUGGCUUAAAUUUCCCCAGAUUGGUAAGAAUCCCUUCAAACUCCCAUGUUCUUGUGACACACUCCCAUCAUUUUUGGAGUGCUUCCUUACUUUCUGUCUUGAAAAUAUGUUUUUGGCUCAUCUUACAGUUUCUGUGUCCCAGUCUUGGAAUCAACUACUUCUCUGGUGAUCUCUGGUUCUUUUUUGUGGAAACUGGUAUUAGAAACCAGUAUCUGGGAGCUAUGUGAGCUCAUUGCUAGCAGACAGACUUUGAAAAUAUAAAUUAUAUAUACAUAUAUACAUGCAUGUGUAGCUAUACAUACACACAUACACAGUUUAAACAUUGCCAGUUUGCACCAAUAUCUCCGAUUCCAAUCCAUUUCUACUCAGUUUUUUCUUACCAUCCACUAACUCAUGUGUGUUUCUUCUACAGCAAGAACCCUAGGAUGGAGCCCUUUAGUGUUUUAUUAGUGAUGUUAUUAACACUACAUUAUGUAACACUGUGUAAGUGUAAUAUAGGUAUAACAAUAUGUAACACUACAUAUUUACAUUAACAUCUAAAAAGUAGGCAGAGCAGAUGAGGGACAACAGAAAAGCAGGGGGAAACCAGCAGAGGCUAUCAAAGAAUUCAAGGGAGAAAUGAGCUUUAUCAUGGAGAGAAUAUUCAGCCCCAUCAAGUUUAAAUCACUUUACAAGAUUUUUAAAGGCUUUUAAAGGCUUUUCAUGCAUAUCCUGGCUAUGUAAAGCACCAGCUGUUUUCAUUUUGAUGCUCCCUUCCAAUAUCUGUCCAGGAAUACUUUCCUUUACGCUGUUGCAGUUGUAAGAUUGCAUUAUAAUUUGAUGUUUUGCUUUUUGCUUGAGAUAAUCUUGUAGCGGAGAAGGCAAUGGCAACCCACUCCAGUACUCUUGCCUGGAGAAUCCCAUGGACAGAGGAGCCUGGUAGGCUACAGUCCAUGGGGUCGCUAAGAGUCACACACGACUGAGCGACUUCACUUUCACUUUUCACUUUCAUGCAUUGGAGAAGAAAUGGCAACCCACUCCAGUGUUCUUGCCUGGAGAAUCCCAGGGAUGGGGGAGCCUGGUGGGUUGCCGUCUCUGGGGUCGCACAGAGUCGGACACGCCUGAAGCGACUUAGCAGCCCCAGCAGCAGCAGCCUCGUAGCACCUGUUCAUUUUCCAUGUGUCCUCCCACCCUUCAUUCUGACCUGUUUUAAUGGCUGUGCUGAUUCAAGAGGGAAGAGGCCACCUUUCUUCUAGCUUCUGUGGCUUCCAGAGCCACUCACAUCCUUGCCCUUUCAUCUGCUCACUCUCCCACUGCUCUGUAAAAAGAUGCUGACUACACUUACAUAACUUUCGCCAAGAUUAAAACAUAUGGAGUUGCUGAUAUUCAGUCUAUGAUGGCUGUUUCAUAUGAUCUUAGCCUAAUAUAUACCAGGCUAAGAUAUAUAUAUUUUAUAUACACUAUAUAAAGUACAGUAUAUUUAUAAUACAUGUAGACCUGAUUUAAGAGCGACUCAGUGCUAUUAAUUUAUCAGCAUUAAUCAUACCUUAGGAAGCAUUAUUAUCAUCAUCCUUGUUACAUCUGAGGAAACUGAGGCAAAGAAAGGUCAACUAACUUGCCCAUAGCUAGCAAGAGCAGGUGUAGUGUUUGGGCCCAGGAAGUCUGGCUUUGGAGCCCAGGUUCUUAAUCAUUGCACUAUGAUACCCCUUGAGAGUGGUAUCACCAAGCUGAAAAUAACCAAUUCCAAGCUUAUUAAGGGAGCUGGAGCCAGUCUGCUUGCUAACUGAGUGUGGAUGCCCUGUGUUUCCCCCUUUUCAGAAUUUGUUAUUUAAUGUACAUGUGUAUUUCAGAAUUUGUUAUUUAAUGUACGUAUUCCCUGUAGGUGUCAGGGUCAGAGACUAGAGAGUGGGCUUGCUCUUCACUGCCUGAUGCCAAGUGUCUUGUGCAGUAUGCAGAAGAGAUGUGCCCUCAAUAUUUAUUGAAGGAAAAGAAGGUAGAAGCUGGGGCAUCUAUUGGAGAGUGAGAAUGUAGGUGACAUGAACUGUAGGAUGUGUCUGACUUGUAUAGAGAGUUGGGCUUCGAGUGGUCACAAACAGGGUAGACUUUUCUACUUCUGGAAACCAGAGUAAGACAGGCCAGAGGGAUACGUUCAAACCAGAGAUUCAGUAUCAGACAUUGGCGAACCCCUGGCCCACAAGGCUACUGCCAGAGUUCAGAGGAGGGUGGAGGCUGGGUAGGAGGGAGAGCCAAUGAGGAGAGGCCUUUGGGAACUGUAAAUCAUAUUAACAUGAUAUAAAGUCUGAAAUAGCUAGGCCUGCCUGCCUACCAGACUUCAGGUCAUUGCAAGCCCAAGGUAGAAGCUUUCAAUUAACUUAAUGUCUUUGACCUCUCUCCCUAAGUGCUAGGUACGGUAGCAGAAUGCCUGCAGAUAUACAGAUGUCCUUAGGAAAGUGGGCUUUUGGUUUCUAGUAUCCUGGACCCAAGUUCUUUGAAAGAGUAAGAUAUUAAGGGCUAAGAACCACCCCUGGAAGAGAUGAAAGCUCAUUUUGUCAUUACCUGUCUCUGGGAUUUCUUUGUGACUCAUUCUUUUUAAUCUGUCAAAAAGGGAAACAGUGAAUUUGCAGAGCUUCUCAAAGUUAUUGUGAUGAUUUUUGUUUGUUCAUUGAUCAAAUCAAAUAGUACAUUAAAGUUCUUAGAAAAGUAUAAAGUACUAUAAAAUGUAAUUAUUAUUAAUGUCUGACAUCACAUGUACUAGAUAACAGAAUACAAUGAUAAAUUAACUCUAUGUUGGUAAACUGUUACCUAACUCCCACUUUAGCUCCCCUAUUCCACUGUCUUCCCAAGAAGAAGAUUCAUACUUUUAAAAAUAUGAGGUGGGAAAAAUGUUAUUUUAUAUAUAUAUAUUACAUAUAUUGACUUUCUACUGCUGCCGUAACAAAUUACCACAAACUUGAUGACUUUGAAACAACACAAAAUAAUCACCUGACAGUUUUGGAGAUCAGAAAUCUGAAAGAGGAUCUCACUGGGCUAAAACCAAGGUGUCAGCAGGGCUGUGUUCCAUUCUGGAGGCUCAAUGGGAGAAUGUGUUUCCUUGUUUUUUUCCAGUUUCUAGAGACUGUCUAUGUUCCUUUUUUCAUGGUCCCCUUCCUCCAUCUGCAAAGCCAGCGAUGUCAGAUCUGAGCCUUUUCUCCAUAGUCACAUCGUCCUUUCUCUUCCAUUCUAAGGGACCCUUGUGAUUACAUCCCAGAUAAUCCAGGAUAAUCUCCCCAUUUCAAGGUCAGUUGAUUAGCAACUUUAAUUCCCCUUUGUCAUGUAACGGGUUCUGGAGAUUAAAACAUGAAUAUCUGGGUGUGGGGGGGAUAUUAUUCUUCCUAACAUAUUAUAUAUUUUGUAAAUAUUUUAUCUGGAAAGAAUUUUUUUUAAAUUUUAUUUUAUUUUUAAACUUUACAUAAUUGUAUUAGUUUUGCCAAAUAUCAAAAUGAAUCCGCCAC